CGAUCCUACGGGAGCGAUGAACCCUUCCAGUUUUAUCUGGACGCCAUGGAAUGGGGGAGCGAGUGGCGUAACCGACCGUGGAAAAG
Molecule: non-coding RNA, 86 nt
Filed under: Longilinea arvoryzae
Lineage: Bacteria; Bacillati; Chloroflexota; Anaerolineae; Anaerolineales; Anaerolineaceae
Description: c-di-GMP sequence
Rfam family: c-di-GMP-II-GAG riboswitch aptamer
Source: Rfam by way of RNAcentral